RNAcentral lists this ribosomal RNA (493 nucleotides) under uncultured bacterium. Its description in RNAcentral is "bacterial SSU rRNA". It matches the Rfam family "Bacterial small subunit ribosomal RNA", at positions 30 to 507 of the family's 1533-position model. The record is from RNAcentral.
UCCUUUAAUUGAACGCUGGCGGAAUGCUUUACACAUGCAAGUCGAACGGCAGCAUAGGUGCUUGCACCUGAUGGCGAGUGGCGAACGGGUGAGUAAUACAUCGGAACGUGCCCAGUCGUGGGGGAUAACGUAGCGAAAGUUACGCUAAUACCGCAUACGAUCUACGGAUGAAAGCGGGGGACCGUAAGGCCUCGCGCGAUUGGAGCGGCCGAUGUUAGAUUAGGUAGUUGGUGGGGUAAAGGCUCACCAAGCCGACGAUCUAUAGCUGGUCUGAGAGGAUGAUCAGCCACACUGGGACUGAGACACGGCCCAGACUCCUACGGGAGGCAGCAGUGGGGAAUUUUGGACAAUGGGCGCAAGCCUGAUCCAGCCAUUCCGCGUGCAGGACGAAGGCCUUCGGGUUGUAAACUGCUUUUGUACAGAACGAAAAGCUCUGGGUUAAUACCUCGGGGUCAUGACGGUACUGUAAGAAUAAGCACCGGCUAACUACGUG